AAGUGACAUAAUUCUCGAAGCUAUUGGUUUAAAAUCUGUACAACACAUCAAUAAAGUAAAAUACACUAAGUGUUGCAGCGGAAAUACUUAAGUGGAUUACAUGUAUGAAGACAUGGAAUCCUGAGCCUAAUUUAAUACUUAUACUUCAAAAGCUUUGCUCUGCUCGCCUCCAUCCGCAUCACAGCUUAACCUGCAUAUUUAGAAAACAUAUGCAGGGCUGAGUACUAAAAAGGUACUCAAUGGUCACAUGCCGAAAUAACUUUAAAGCUUGCUCUUAGAGCUAUAUAUUGAACUUGCCAUCUCAA
RNAcentral lists this long non-coding RNA (305 nucleotides) under Salvia miltiorrhiza (redroot sage). Its description in RNAcentral is "long non-coding RNA (SMIL_LNC001895)". The record is from RNAcentral. Lineage: Eukaryota; Viridiplantae; Streptophyta; Magnoliopsida; Lamiales; Lamiaceae.